UACGGGGGGGGCAAGCGUUGUUCGGAAUUACUGGGCGUAAAGGGCUUGUAGGUGGCCAACUAAGUCAGACGUGAAAUCCCUCAGCUUAACUUGGGAACUGCGCUCGAAACUACUUGGCUAGAGUGUGGCAGAGGGAGGUGGAAUUCCACGUGUAGCGGUGAAAUGCGUAGAGAUGUGGAGGAACACCGAUGGCGAAGGCAGCCUCCUGGGCCAACACUGACGCUCAUGCACGAAAGCGUGGGGAGCAAACAGG
Molecule: ribosomal RNA, 253 nt
Filed under: uncultured bacterium
Lineage: Bacteria
Description: partial 16S ribosomal RNA
Rfam family: Bacterial small subunit ribosomal RNA
Source: RNAcentral